GAUGUACGCUGGCGGCGUGCCUAAUACAUGCAAGUCGAGCGAACGGACGAGAAGCUUGCUUCUCUGAUGUUAGCGGCGGACGGGUGAGUAACACGUGGAUAACCUACCUAUAAGACUGGGAUAACUUCGGGAAACCGGAGCUAAUACCGGAUGAUAUUUUGAACCGCAUGGUUCAAUAGUGAAAGACGGUCUUGCUGUCACUUAUAGAUGGAUCCGCGCUGCAUUAGCUAGUUGGUAAGGUAACGGCUUACCAAGGCAACGAUGCAUAGCCGACCUGAGAGGGUGAUCGGCCACACUGGAACUGAGACACGGUCCAGACUCCUACGGGAGGCAGCAGUAGGGAAUCUUCCGCAAUGGGCGAAAGCCUGACGGAGCAACGCCGCGUGAGUGAUGAAGGUCUUCGGAUCGUAAAACUCUGUUAUUAGGGAAGAACAUAUGUGUAAGUAACUGUGCACAUCUUGACGGUACCUAAUCAGAAAGCCACGGCUAACUACGUG
This 497-nucleotide ribosomal RNA is filed under the name uncultured bacterium. RNAcentral's name for it is "partial 16S ribosomal RNA". It matches the Rfam family "Bacterial small subunit ribosomal RNA", at positions 28 to 507 of the family's 1533-position model. The record is from RNAcentral.